UGGGGAAUUUUGGACAAUGGGGGAAACCCUGAUCCAGCCAUCCCGCGUGUGCGAUGAAGGCCUUGGGGUUGUAAAGCACUUUUGGCAGGAAAGAAACGUCAUGGGUUAAUACCCCGUGAAACUGACGGUACCUGCAGAAUAAGCACCGGCUAACUACGUGCCAGCAGCCGCGGUAAUACGUAGGGUGCAAGGGUUAAUCGGAAUUACUGGGCGUAAAGAGUGCGCAGGAGGUUCGGAAAGAAAGAUGUGAAAUCCCAGAGCUCAACUUUGGAACCGCAUUUUUAACUACCGGGCUAGAGUGUGUGAGAGGGAGGUGGAAUUCCGCGUGUAGCAGUGAAAUGCGUAGAUAUGCGGAGGAACACCGAUGGCGAAGGCAGCCUCCUGGGAUAACACUGACGCUCAUGCACGAAAGCGUGGGGAGCAAACAGG
RNAcentral lists this ribosomal RNA (429 nucleotides) under Acidobacteriota bacterium. RNAcentral describes it as "Acidobacteria bacterium partial 16S ribosomal RNA". It matches the Rfam family "Bacterial small subunit ribosomal RNA", at positions 355 to 776 of the family's 1533-position model. The record is from RNAcentral. Lineage: Bacteria; Pseudomonadati; Acidobacteriota.